GAGUUGAUCAUGGCUCAGGAUGAACGCUAGCGGCAGGCUUAACACAUGCAAGUCGAGGGGCAGCGGGAUGUAGCAAUACAUUGCCGGCGACCGGCGGAUGGGUGCGUAACGCGUAUGCAACCUACCUUAUACAGGGGAAUAACCUUUCGAAAGGGAGACUAACACCCCAUAGUAUUGAUUUAAGGCAUCUUAGAUUAAUUAAAUAGUUUAUAGGUAUAAGAUGGGCAUGCGUAUGAUUAGCUAGUUGGUAAGGUAACGGCUUACCAAGGCGACGAUCAUUAGGGGUUCUGAGAGGAAGGUCCCCCACACUGGUACUGAGACACGGACCAGACUCCUACGGGAGGCAGCAGUGAGGAAUAUUGGUCAAUGGGCGCAAGCCUGAACCAGCCAUGCCGCGUGCAGGAAGACGGCCUUAUGGGUUGUAAACUGCUUUUACAUAAGACUAACCGUAUAUUUGCGAAUAUACCUGAAUGUAUUAUGAGAAUAAGGAUCGGCUAACUCCGUGCCAGCCGCGGC
Molecule: ribosomal RNA, 516 nt
Filed under: uncultured bacterium
Lineage: Bacteria
Description: bacterial SSU rRNA
Rfam family: Bacterial small subunit ribosomal RNA
Source: RNAcentral